CCGAGGACAACAUAGUGGAUUCAUCCACCGGAGACAAUGUGCAAGAUCAACGUAGAUGGUGCAGUGUCUAAGAACCAGAAGAGGGGAGCUGCAGCGGCAAUAUGCAGAGACCACGCUAGAAAUUUUCUGGGGGCUUCGGCGAUACUUGUGACGGGUGUUUACGACCCACCGACACUAGAAGCUCUUGCUAUCCGGGAGGCUCUAGCCCUGGCCGAAGAUCUGAAUUUGCAGAGUCUACACGUUGCAUCAGAUUGCAAAGUAGUGAUCGAGGACAUGAAGGAGCAACACCCGGCUGGUUAUGGUGCAAUUCUACAUGAAAUAUCAGACCUUGCGAAUGGUUUCGUAAAGUGCAAUUUUGUUCAUGAGUAUAGGAGCUCGAACUUCGAGUCUCACAAUCUAGCGAAGCAUGCUUUAAAGCUAGAGGUGGGCCGCCAUGUUUGGUUAGGACACCCCGGUAAUCUCAUUUUUGUCCCUGUAAACAUUAUUUCAGGAUAA
RNAcentral lists this ribosomal RNA (495 nucleotides) under Triticum aestivum (bread wheat). RNAcentral's name for it is "partial small subunit ribosomal RNA". Lineage: Eukaryota; Viridiplantae; Streptophyta; Magnoliopsida; Poales; Poaceae. The record is from RNAcentral.